CAAGAAAUAGUUUAAAUAAAACAUUAAUUUUGGAGGUUAAAAAUAUUAAUUUAUUUUCUUGA
Molecule: transfer RNA, 62 nt
Filed under: Seladonia tumulorum
Lineage: Eukaryota; Metazoa; Arthropoda; Insecta; Hymenoptera; Halictidae
Description: tRNA-Pro
Source: RNAcentral